AUUAACGCUGGCGGCGUGCCUCAUCCCUGCCAGUCGAGCGAACAGACGAGGAGCUUGCUCCUCUGACGUUAGCGGCGGACGGGUGAGUAACACGUGGAUAACCUACCUAUAAGACUGGGAUAACUUCGGGAAACCGGAGCUAAUACCGGAUAAUAUAUUGAACCGCAUGGUUCAAUAGUGAAAGACGGUUUUGCUGUCACUUAUAGAUGGAUCCGCGCCGCAUUAGCUAGUUGGUAAGGUAACGGCUUACCAAGGCAACGAUGCGUAGCCGACCUGAGAGGGUGAUCGGCCACACUGGAACUGAGACACGGUCCAGACUCCUACGGGAGGCAGCAGUAGGGAAUCUUCCGCAAUGGGCGAAAGCCUGACGGAGCAACGCCGCGUGAGUGAUGAAGGUCUUCGGAUCGUAAAACUCUGUUAUUAGGGAAGAACAAAUGUGUAAGUAACUAUGCACGUCUUGACGGUACCUAAUCAGAAAGCCACGGCUAACUACGUG
RNAcentral lists this ribosomal RNA (496 nucleotides) under uncultured bacterium. Its description in RNAcentral is "partial 16S ribosomal RNA". It matches the Rfam family "Bacterial small subunit ribosomal RNA", at positions 29 to 507 of the family's 1533-position model. The record is from RNAcentral.